Molecule: ribosomal RNA, 253 nt
Filed under: uncultured bacterium
Lineage: Bacteria
Description: partial 16S ribosomal RNA
Rfam family: Bacterial small subunit ribosomal RNA
Source: RNAcentral
GACGUAGGGCGCGAGCGUUGUCCGGAUUUAUUGGGCGUAAAGAGCUCGUAGGCGGCUUGUUGCGUCGACCGUGAAAACCCGGGGCUCAACUUCGGGCUUGCGGUCGAUACGGGCGGGCUAGAGUUCGGUAGGGGAGAUCGGAAUUCCUGGUGUAGAGGUGAAAUGCGCAGAUAUCAGGAGGAACACCGGUGGCGAAGGCGGAUCUCUGGGCCAUUACUGACGCUGAGGAGCGAAAGCGUGGGGAGCGAACAGG